Molecule: ribosomal RNA, 503 nt
Filed under: uncultured bacterium
Lineage: Bacteria
Description: partial 16S ribosomal RNA
Rfam family: Bacterial small subunit ribosomal RNA
Source: RNAcentral
AUUGAACGCUAGCGGCAGGCUUAACACAUGCAAGUCGAGCGGGGUGAUGGUGCUUGCACUAUCACUUAGCGGCGGACGGGUGAGUAAUGCUUAGGAAUCUGCCUAUUAGUGGGGGACAACACCUCGAAAGGGAUGCUAAUACCGCAUACGUCCUACGGGAGAAAGCAGGGGAUCACUUGUGACCUUGCGCUAAUAGAUGAGCCUAAGUCGGAUUAGCUAGUUGGUGGGGUAAAGGCCUACCAAGGCGACGAUCUGUAGCGGGUCUGAGAGGAUGAUCCGCCACACUGGGACUGAGACACGGCCCGGACUCCUACGGGAGGCAGCAGUGGGGAAUAUUGGACAAUGGGGGGAACCCUGAUCCAGCCAUGCCGCGUGUGUGAAGAAGGCCUUAUGGUUGUAAAGCACUUUAAGCGAGGAGGAGGCUCUUUUGGUUAAUACCCAAGAUGAGUGGACGUUACUCGCAGAAUAAGCACCGGCUAACUCUGUGCCAGCCGCCGCCGUAA